UUGGAGGGCAAGUCUGGUGCCAGCAGCCGCGGUAAUUCCAGCUCCAAUAGCGUAUAUUAAAGUUGUUGCAGUUAAAAAGCUCGUAGUUGAAUUUCGGGGUCAGUAGGUUGGUCGUGCCACUGGUACGUACUGGUCUCACUGAUUCCUCCUUCCUGAUGAACCGUAAUGCCAUUAAUUUGGUGUUGCGGGGAAACUGGACUGUUACUUUGAAAAAAUUAGAGUGUUUAAAGCAGGCUAACGCUUGAAUACAUUAGCAUGGAAUAAUGAAAUAGGACGUUCGAUCCUAUUUUGUUGGUUUCUAGGAUUGACGUAAUGAUUAAUAGGGAUAGUUGGGGGCAUUAGUAUUCAAUUGUCAGAGGUGAAAUUCUUGGAUUUAUUGAAGACUAACUACUGCGAAAGCAUUUGCCAAGGAUGUUUUCAUUAAUCAAGAACGAAAGUUAGGGGAUCGAAGACGAUCAGAUACCGUCGUAGUCUUAACCAUAAACUAUGCCGACUAGGGAUCGGAUGAUGUUAAUUUUUUAAUGACUCAUUCGGCACCUUACGGGAAAC
Molecule: ribosomal RNA, 549 nt
Filed under: uncultured Glomus
Lineage: Eukaryota; Fungi; Glomeromycota; Glomeromycetes; Glomerales; Glomeraceae
Description: SSU rRNA
Rfam family: Eukaryotic small subunit ribosomal RNA
Source: RNAcentral